CUUGGUCAUUUAGAGGAAGUAAAAGUCGUAACAAGGUUCCUUCACCCUAUGGAAGCCUUGAAUCAUUAGUCCGACGAUUAUUGUUGGGCAACACUUGUCUGUUGCUGGCAUCUCGUUAUAGUUAUGAGUACCAGCAGUCGCUAAAGCGAUUCACAGAUCAAACAUAAGUGGUACACCAAAACCCCCCUGUAGAGAAUUUAUUCUUUAGGGAAGUGUCCUGGGUGUAUGUUGAUAUGACCGGUCUCUCUUUUAACUAAGAUAGAAUCCAUGUUCCGUAGGUGAACCUGCGGAAGGAUCAUUACCGAGUUAAGGUCUUUAUGGCCUGACCUCCAACCCUUUGUCUAUUAUACCAUGUUGCUUUGGCGGGCCCGCCUUUCGAAGGCCGCCGGGGGCUUUAUCGCUCCUGGCCUGUGCCCGCCAGUAGCCAUCUUAAAUUCUUUUGAUAACUGUGUCGUCUGAGUCCAAAUAUCAAAUCAUUUAAAACUUUCAACAACGGAUCUCUUGGUUCUGGCAUCGAUGAAGAACGCAGCGAAAUGCGAUAAGUAAUGCGAAUUGCAGAAUUCAGUGAGUCAUCGAAUCUUUGAACGCAUAUUGCGCCCUUUGGUAUUCCGAAGGGCAUGCCUGUUCGAGCGUCAUUAUCAACCAUCAAGCCUAGCUUGUCGUUGGACCUUUUGUCGUCUAGUGACAGGUCCGAAAGAUAAUGAACGGCGUCACGGCGACCCUACAUGCAACGAGCUUAUAAAAUAGCACGCAUAUGGUGGUCGUCCGGGCCCGGUCGUCACCCUUUUAUUUUCUCCAGGUUGACCUCGGAUCAGGUAGGAAUACCCGCUGAACUUAAGCAUAUCAAUAAGCGGAGGAA
Molecule: ribosomal RNA, 859 nt
Filed under: Ascomycota sp. 4 RB-2011
Lineage: Eukaryota; Fungi; Ascomycota
Description: eukaryotic LSU rRNA
Rfam family: 5.8S ribosomal RNA (bases 482-635)
Source: RNAcentral